Molecule: small nuclear RNA, 107 nt
Organism: Dama dama (fallow deer)
Lineage: Eukaryota; Metazoa; Chordata; Mammalia; Artiodactyla; Cervidae
Source: RefSeq, a predicted model, not a curated record
GUGCUCGCUUUGACAGCACAUAUACUAAAAUGGAAACGAUAAAGAGAAUAUUAGCAUGGCCCCUGCAUAAGAAUGACACACAAAUUCAUGAAGCAGUACAUAUCUUU